This 465-nucleotide ribosomal RNA is filed under the name uncultured bacterium. Its description in RNAcentral is "partial 16S ribosomal RNA". It matches the Rfam family "Bacterial small subunit ribosomal RNA", at positions 339 to 795 of the family's 1533-position model. The record is from RNAcentral.
CUACGGGAGGCAGCAGUGGGGAAUAUUGGACAAUGGGGGAAACCCUGAUCCAGUAAUGCCGCGUGUGUGAAGAAGGCCUGCGGGUUGUAAAGCACUUUCGGUUGGGAGGACUGCUUCUAGCACUAAUAUUGUUGGAAGUUGACGUUACCUUCAGAAGAAGCACCGGCUAACUCCGUGCCAGCAGCCACGGUAAUACGGAGGGUGCAAGCGUUAAUCGGAAUUACUGGGCGUAAAGCGCGCGUAGGCGGCUAGAUCAGUCGGGUGUGAAAGCCCCGGGCUUAACCUGGGAACUGCAACCGAUACUGGCUAGCUAGAGUACAGGAGAGGAGAGUGGAAUUCCACAUGUAGCGGUGAAAUGCGUAGAUAUGUGGAGGAACACCAAUGGCGAAGGCAGCUCUCUGGCCUGAUACUGACGCUGAGGUGCGAAAGCGUGGGGAGCAAACAGGAUUAGAUACCCCCGUAGUC